This 493-nucleotide ribosomal RNA is filed under the name uncultured bacterium. RNAcentral's name for it is "partial 16S ribosomal RNA". It matches the Rfam family "Bacterial small subunit ribosomal RNA", at positions 29 to 508 of the family's 1533-position model. The record is from RNAcentral.
AGUGAACGCUGGCGGUAGGCCUAACACAUGCAAGUCGAACGGCAGCACAGUAAGAGCUUGCUCUUACGGGUGGCGAGUGGCGGACGGGUGAGGAAUACAUCGGAAUCUACUUUUUCGUGGGGGAUAACGUAGGGAAACUUACGCUAAUACCGCAUACGACCUACGGGUGAAAGAAGGGGAUCUUCGGACCUUGCGCGAUUGAAUGAGCCGAUGUCGGAUUAGCUAGUUGGCGGGGUAAAGGCCCACCAAGGCGACGAUCCGUAGCUGGUCUGAGAGGAUGAUCAGCCACACUGGAACUGAGACACGGUCCAGACUCCUACGGGAGGCAGCAGUGGGGAAUAUUGGACAAUGGGCGCAAGCCUGAUCCAGCCAUACCGCGUGGGUGAAGAAGGCCUUCGGGUUGUAAAGCCCUUUUGUUGGGAAAGAAAAGCAGCAGGUUAAUACCCCGCUGUUCUGACGGUACCCAAAGAAUAAGCACCGGCUAACUUCGUGC